Molecule: RNA transcript, 761 nt
Organism: Antrostomus carolinensis (chuck-will's-widow)
Lineage: Eukaryota; Metazoa; Chordata; Aves; Caprimulgiformes; Caprimulgidae
Gene: CSRP3
Gene name: cysteine and glycine rich protein 3
Exons: 5
Source: RefSeq, a predicted model, not a curated record
AGUUUAAAAUGCUGAUUUGGAAAUGCAAAUGUUUAUACGUGCCUCUCCUUGCCUGUUUUCAGUGGCUUGCAGGAAAGCUCUGGACAGUACCACAGUAGCAGCUCACGAAUCUGAAAUCUACUGCAAAACCUGUUACGGGAGAAAAUACGGUCCCAAAGGUGUUGGCUUCGGACAAGGGGCAGGAUGUCUCAGCACUGACACCGGUGACCAUCUGGGCUUGAAUCUGCAACAGGGGUCACCAAAGUCUGCUCGUCCUUCUACACCAACUAAUCCUUCCAAGUUUGCCAAAAAGAUGGUAGAUGUGGAUAAAUGUCCCCGUUGUGGCAAAUCAGUGUAUGCUGCAGAGAAGAUCAUGGGAGGAGGAAAACCUUGGCAUAAGACGUGCUUCCGCUGUGCUAUUUGUGGGAAGAGUUUAGAAUCUACGAAUGUUACAGACAAAGAUGGAGAGCUCUACUGUAAAGUUUGCUAUGCAAAAAAUUUCGGUCCCAAAGGAAUUGGGUUCGGUGGCCUCACUCAAGUGGAAAAGAAAGAGUGCGAAUGAGAAGAAAUGGAUGCAGCAGACUCAAACUGCUGUUGAUGCCACUAAGUGACAGGUGUCAAGUAAAACAUUAAACAUCACACAUUGCUAAGAACUUAGGGCAUUUGUUUAACAUUUUCCACCUUGCAGGAAAUACUUGUGAAUACUGCUGAAGAAAAAUAACAUUUUCUUAGAAUACAGUGUUGUAAGUUUUGUAAUUGUUUCCAAGCUACAAUAAAGUACU